RNAcentral lists this transfer RNA (72 nucleotides) under Omnitrophica WOR_2 bacterium RIFCSPHIGHO2_02_FULL_50_17. RNAcentral describes it as "tRNA-Gln". It matches the Rfam family "tRNA". From Rfam's summary of the family: Transfer RNA (tRNA) molecules are approximately 80 nucleotides in length. RNAcentral also lists the same sequence under 1 other name. The record is from RNAcentral. Lineage: Bacteria; Pseudomonadati; Candidatus Omnitrophota.
UGCCCUGUGGUGUAAUUGGUAGCACAUGAGACUCUGGAUCUCAGUGUCUUGGUUCGAGUCCAAGCGGGGCAG